UGUUAGCGGCGGACGGGUGAGUAACACGUGGGUAACCUGCCUGUAAGACUGGGAUAACUCCGGGAAACCGGGGCUAAUACCGGAUGGUUGUCUGAACCGCAUGGUUCAGACAUAAAAGGUGGCUUCGGCUACCACUUACAGAUGGACCCGCGGCGCAUUAGCUAGUUGGUGAGGUAACGGCUCACCAAGGCGACGAUGCGUAGCCGACCUGAGAGGGUGAUCGGCCACACUGGGACUGAGACACGGCCCAGACUCCUACGGGAGGCAGCAGUAGGGAAUCUUCCGCAAUGGACGAAAGUCUGACGGAGCAACGCCGCGUGAGUGAUGAAGGUUUUCGGAUCGUAAAGCUCUGUUGUUAGGGAAGAACAAGUGCCGUUCAAAUAGGGCGGCACCUUGACGGUACCUAACCAGAAAGCCACGGCUAACUACGUGCCAGCAGCCGCGGUAAUACGUAGGUGGCAAGCGUUGUCCGGAAUUAUUGGGCGUAAAGGGCUCGCAGGCGGUUUCUUAAGUCUGAUGUGAAAGCCCCCGGCUCAACCGGGGAGGGUCAUUGGAAACUGGGGAACUUGAGUGCAGAAGAGGAGAGUGGAAUUCCACGUGUAGCGGUGAAAUGCGUAGAGAUGUGGAGGAACACCAGUGGCGAAGGCGACUCUCUGGUCUGUAACUGACGCUGAGGAGCGAAAGCGUGGGGAGCGAACAGGAUUAGAUACCCUGGUAGUCCACGCCGUAAACGAUGAGUGCU
This 742-nucleotide ribosomal RNA is filed under the name Bacillus siamensis. Its description in RNAcentral is "bacterial SSU rRNA". It matches the Rfam family "Bacterial small subunit ribosomal RNA", at positions 90 to 817 of the family's 1533-position model. The record is from RNAcentral. Lineage: Bacteria; Bacillati; Bacillota; Bacilli; Caryophanales; Bacillaceae.